This 496-nucleotide ribosomal RNA is filed under the name uncultured Desulfobulbus sp. Its description in RNAcentral is "bacterial SSU rRNA". It matches the Rfam family "Bacterial small subunit ribosomal RNA", at positions 903 to 1382 of the family's 1533-position model. Lineage: Bacteria; Pseudomonadati; Thermodesulfobacteriota; Desulfobulbia; Desulfobulbales; Desulfobulbaceae. The record is from RNAcentral.
AGCCGCUCAGAACUAAAGGAAUUGACGGGGCCGCACAAGCGGUGGAGUAUGUGGUUAAUUCGAUGCAACGCGAAGAACCUUACCUGGUCUUGACAUCCCGGAGACCCUUAGGAAACUAGGGGGUGCUUCCAUCUGGAAGAAUCUGGAGACAGGUGCUGCAUGGCUGUCGUCAGCUCGUGUCGUGAGAUGUUGGGUUAAGUCCCGCAACGAGCGCAACCCUUGCCUUUAGUUGCCAGCAGUUCGGCUGGGCACUCUAAAGGGACUGCCGGUGUUAAACCGGAGGAAGGUGGGGAUGACGUCAAGUCCUCAUGGCCUUUAUGACCAGGGCUACACACGUACUACAAUGGCCGAUACAAAGGGCAGCGACACUGCGAGGUGAAGCCAAUCCCGUAAAAUCGGUCUCAGUCCGGAUUGGAGUCUGCAACUCGACUCCAUGAAGUUGGAAUCGCUAGUAAUCGUGGAUCAGCAUGCCACGGUGAAUACGUUCCCGGGCCUU